This 478-nucleotide ribosomal RNA is filed under the name uncultured bacterium. Its description in RNAcentral is "partial 16S ribosomal RNA". It matches the Rfam family "Bacterial small subunit ribosomal RNA", at positions 28 to 523 of the family's 1533-position model. The record is from RNAcentral.
GACGAACGCUGGCGGCGUGCUUAACACAUGCAAGUCGAACGGUAAGGCCCUUCGGGGUACACGAGUGGCGAACGGGGGAGUAACACGUGGGUGAUCUGCCCUGAACUUCGGGAUAAGCCUGGGAAACGGGGUCUACUACCGGCGAGGACCACUGCCUGCAGGGGUGGUGGUGGAAAGCUGUUGCGGUGUGGGAUGGGCCCGCGGCCUAUUGGCGUGGUGGGGGGGUGAUGGCCUACUAAGUCGACGACGGGUAGCCGGCCGGAGAGGGUGACCGGCCACACUGGGACUGAGAUACGGCCCAGACUCCUACGGGAGGCAGCAGUGGGGAAUAUUGCACAAUGGGCGCAAGCCUGAUGCAGCGACGCCGCGUGAGGGAUGACGGCCUUCGGGUUGUAAACCUCUUUCAGCACCGACGAAGCGCAAGUGACGGUAGGUGCAGAAGAAGGACCGGCCAACUACGUGCCAGCCGCCGCCGUAA